RNAcentral lists this ribosomal RNA (303 nucleotides) under uncultured bacterium. RNAcentral describes it as "partial 16S ribosomal RNA". It matches the Rfam family "Bacterial small subunit ribosomal RNA", at positions 507 to 808 of the family's 1533-position model. The record is from RNAcentral.
AGCAGUCGCCGCGGGAAUACGUAGGUCCCGAGCGUUGUCCGGAUUUAUUGGGCGUAAAGCGAGCGCAGGCGGUUAGAUAAGUCUGAAGUUAAAGGCUGUGGCUUAACCAUAGUACGCUUUGGAAACUGUUUAACUUGAGUGCAAGAGGGGAGAGUGGAAUUCCAUGUGUAGCGGUGAAAUGCGUAGAUAUAUGGAGGAACACCGGUGGCGAAAGCGGCUCUCUGGCUUGUAACUGACGCUGAGGCUCGAAAGCGUGGGGAGUAAACAGGAUUAGAUACCCGCGUAGUCCCUGUCUCUUAUACA